Molecule: ribosomal RNA, 376 nt
Filed under: uncultured organism
Description: partial 16S ribosomal RNA
Rfam family: Archaeal small subunit ribosomal RNA
Source: RNAcentral
CAGCUCCCCGAGUGGUGAGGACGAUUAUUGGGCUUAAAGCGUUCGUAGCCGGGCUCAACAAGUCUUCCGUUAAAUCCAACGAUCUAAUCGUUGGGCCGCGGGAGAUACUGCUGGGCUAGGAGGCGGGAGAAGCCGACGGUAUUCCCGGGGUAGGGGUGAAAUCCUGUAAUCCCGGGAGGACCACCAGUGGCGAAGGCGGUCGGCUAGAACGCGCUCGACGGUGAGGGACGAAAGCUGGGGGAGCGAACCGGAUUAGAAACCCGGAUAGUCCCAGCUGUAAACGAUGCGGGCUAGGUGUUGGGGUGGCCACGAGCCACUUCAGUGCCGCGUGGAAGCAAUUAAGCCCGCCGCCUGGGGAGUACGGCCGCAAAGGCUG